AUGAUGAACAUGAGGUUCGGCCAUGAGGCGGCGGCGGCGGCGGAGGGACGCACCCCCGCAUGGCUAGGGCCGCUGCUAGGUGCGGAGUUCUACAAGCCGUGCGCCACUCACCCCUACCAGGUGAAGAACGAGUGCAACCAUUACUGCCUCGACUGUGCGGGAGUGGACGACGCCAUCUGCUGCACCCAGUGCGUCUCCGCCCAUCGCAACCACCACAUCGUCCAAAUUCGAAAGUCGUCAUACCACGAAGUGAUCCAACUGGCAGAGUUGAAGGCGGUGGCGGACGUCUCGCAGGUGCAGACGUACGUCAUCAACUACGACAGGGUGGUGUUCUUGAACCGGCGGCCACAGGCGCCGCAGGACGGCGUCAAGUGCAUCGGCCCCGCCGGCGCAUGCCUGGAGUGCGGCUGGGGACUCGUGGACACCAAUUUCCUCUUCUGCUCACUGAGUUGCAAGCUUGAUGGAAUGGUUUCUGACCCCAAUAUAACUUUCAUUGUUGAUCCAAGACGCAACCGGGAAGACCCGGGCCUAGAAACAGAAGAAGAUGAUGAAGAUGAAGGCGACGAUGGACUACCUGGGUCUAGCAACCGUCCGCCGGGAUGGAUUAGCUACCGCCGCCGACCCCGGAAGGGCAUCCCUGAACGGGCACCCUUCUAUUGA
This 660-nucleotide ribosomal RNA is filed under the name Triticum aestivum (bread wheat). RNAcentral's name for it is "partial small subunit ribosomal RNA". The record is from RNAcentral. Lineage: Eukaryota; Viridiplantae; Streptophyta; Magnoliopsida; Poales; Poaceae.